UCUUGAUAUAAGGUUUCCGGG
This 21-nucleotide non-coding RNA is filed under the name Arabidopsis thaliana (thale cress). The record is from RNAcentral. Lineage: Eukaryota; Viridiplantae; Streptophyta; Magnoliopsida; Brassicales; Brassicaceae.